ACACUUUGUCAUCUUCUCGGAUCGAGACCGAACUUACUACUUCAGGAGAUGUGGCCAAGUACAUAAGCAACUCAUCACCAAUAUUUGGCUUCGUCAAAAGGGGUGGGGAGCUUAAAUAUAGCUUCAAGUCUUCAAAAGCUUUUUGGUAUUCUUCUAUCCAAGUAAAGUCUUUCUUCUGCCUGAGAGUUUUGAAGAACAAAAGACAUCACUCUACUGACUUGGAAAUGAAUCAGUUAAGAGAUACGAUACAUCCAGCC
Molecule: long non-coding RNA, 257 nt
Filed under: Elaeis guineensis (African oil palm)
Lineage: Eukaryota; Viridiplantae; Streptophyta; Magnoliopsida; Arecales; Arecaceae
Description: long non-coding RNA (EGUI_LNC009497)
Source: RNAcentral